UCCUGGCUCAGGAUGAACGCUAGCUACAGGCUUAACACAUGCAAGUCGAGGGGAAACGAUAUUGGAAGCUUGCUUCUGAUAGGCGUCGACCGGCGCACGGGUGAGUAACGCGUAUCCAACCUGCCCAUCACUUGGGGAUAACCUUGUGAAAGUAAGACUAAUACCCAAUGACGUCUCUAGAAGACAUCUGAAAGAGAUUAAAGAUUUAUCGGUGAUGGAUGGGGAUGCGUCUGAUUAGCUUGUUGGCGGGGUAACGGCCCACCAAGGCGACGAUCAGUAGGGGUUCUGAGAGGAAGGUCCCCCACAUUGGAACUGAGACACGGUCCAAACUCCUACGGGAGGCAGCAGUGAGGAAUAUUGGUCAAUGGACGAGAGUCUGAACCAGCCAAGUAGCGUGCAGGAUGACGGCCCUAUGGGUUGUAAACUGCUUUUAUAAGGGAAUAAAGUGGGAGUCGUGACUCUUUUUGCAUGUACCUUAUGAAUAAGGACCGGCUAAUUCCGUG
RNAcentral lists this ribosomal RNA (503 nucleotides) under uncultured bacterium. Its description in RNAcentral is "bacterial SSU rRNA". It matches the Rfam family "Bacterial small subunit ribosomal RNA", at positions 17 to 507 of the family's 1533-position model. The record is from RNAcentral.